GCAAGCCUGGCUAAUAACUCUCAGUGUGUUGUGGAGAAAGCACAGUCAGAAGAACCAGUACAUUAGCUAAGCAGAGUCUGUAGUUUGGAAAAUAACGGAUGCAAUACAUGCAGUAAGUUGUUCCUUACAGAGAACUAGUGCAACAUGUUACAACAACAUUUUCAGAACUGCCCUGAUAAGAUGCAGCAUAAAGAUGCUUCUGUAAUUCUCAGACAAGAUGACCUUCAAAGUCAGGUUUUAAUAAAAGUCCCAGCACCAUCACCAUCAGAAAAGAAACCGUACGAAUGGAUGGAAUUAUUCUGAUUGCAACAAGCUUCACGGUACUGCCUGCAACUAUCCUCAGUUCAGAGCUGUGGCUGAAACAGAUGCAUGUUGCCAGAGUCAUUUCAGUUUGGCUCCUCAAAAUAAGCAGACACUGGAAUUAACAUGUCUGGACUCUAGAUGUAAACCAGAAAUAACAACAUAACCUUGCAAAGAAAUGCUGUAAAUUUGCUCAUUAAAGUUUGCAAAGCAAUUAGAUGAAUAUUAUAGAAGACUGCGCUGCUUAAUGAAGAUCAUUAAAGAAAAGCCUUUGUACACAUAACACAGGAAUCCAUGACAUGGGCUGCCAAACCGUAAUUGUUAUUCUU
This is a long non-coding RNA of Gavia stellata (red-throated loon), 629 nucleotides long. RefSeq lists it as uncharacterized. Lineage: Eukaryota; Metazoa; Chordata; Aves; Gaviiformes; Gaviidae. The record is from RefSeq and is a predicted model, not a curated record. The transcript has 3 exons.